RNAcentral lists this ribosomal RNA (460 nucleotides) under uncultured bacterium. RNAcentral describes it as "bacterial SSU rRNA". It matches the Rfam family "Bacterial small subunit ribosomal RNA", at positions 29 to 533 of the family's 1533-position model. The record is from RNAcentral.
AACGAACGCUGGCGGCAUGCCUAACACAUGCAAGUCGAACGAGACCUUCGGGUCUAGUGGCGCACGGGUGCGUAACGCGUGGGAAUCUGCCCCUUGGUUCGGAAUAACUUCGGGAAACUGAAGCUAAUACCGGAUAAUGACGUAAGUCCAAAGAUUUAUCGCCAAGGGAUGAGCCCGCGUAGGAUUAGCUAGUUGGUGGGGUAAAGGCUCACCAAGGCGACGAUCCUUAGCUGGUCUGAGAGGAUGAUCAGCCACACUGGGACUGAGACACGGCCCAGACUCCUACGGGAGGCAGCAGUGGGGAAUAUUGGACAAUGGGCGAAAGCCUGAUCCAGCAAUGCCGCGUGAGUGAUGAAGGCCUAGGGUUGUAAAGACUCUUUUACCCGGGAAGAUAAUAGACAGUACCGGGAGAAUAAGCUCCGGCUAACUCCGUGCCAGCAGCCGCGGUAAAGUAGUGACU